Molecule: ribosomal RNA, 253 nt
Filed under: uncultured bacterium
Lineage: Bacteria
Description: partial 16S ribosomal RNA
Rfam family: Bacterial small subunit ribosomal RNA
Source: RNAcentral
UACGGAGGAUGCAAGCGUUAUCCGGAAUCAUUGGGCGUAAAGCGUCCGCAGGUGGCGGUUCAAGUCUGCUGUUAAAGACAGAAGCUUAACUUCUGAUAGGCAGUGGAAACUGGACAGCUAGAGUAUGGUAGGGGUUGAGGGAAUUCCCAGUGUAGCGGUGAAAUGCGUAGAUAUUGGGAAGAACACCAGUGGCGAAGGCGCUCAACUGGGCCAUAACUGACACUCAGGGACGAAAGCUAGGGGAGCGAAAGGG